CCUACGGGGGGCUGCAGUGGGGAAUCUUGCGCAAUGGGCGAAAGCCUGACGCAGCAACGCCGCGUGGGGGAUGAAGGCUCUCGGGUUGUAAACCCCUUUCAGCAGGAACGAAAGUGACGGUACCUGCAGAAGAAGCCCCGGCCAAAUACGUGCCAGCAGCCGCGGUAAUACGUAUGGGGCGAGCGUUGUCCGGAUUUAUUGGGCGUAAAGAGCUCGUAGGCGGCUUGCCAAGUCGGGUGUGAAACCUCCAGGCUCAACCUGGAGUCGCCACUCGAUACUGGCAUGGCUUGAGUCCGGUAGGGGACCACGGAAUUCCUGGUGUAGCGGUGAAAUGCGCAGAUAUCAGGAGGAACACCGAUGGCGAAGGCGGUUCUCUGGGCCUGUACUGACGCUGAGGAGCGAAAGCGUGGGGAGCGAACAGGAUUAGAUACCCUUGUAGU
This 440-nucleotide ribosomal RNA is filed under the name uncultured bacterium. RNAcentral describes it as "bacterial SSU rRNA". It matches the Rfam family "Bacterial small subunit ribosomal RNA", at positions 338 to 794 of the family's 1533-position model. The record is from RNAcentral.